ACUAAAAGAAGAAUAAGGUGAGUGGAGAAGCUGUCCACGUCGUUUAAUUAAAUCGACCAAUAAAAAACUUCUAUUUUGCCACAUCAGACAAGCCUCACAGUGUGGGCUUCAUCCUAUAAGUUUUGCGUAUGGGCUACAUCGAAUUUUUAAUCUGCUCAAUGAGACCCAAAUCACAAAAUAAACCUGUCGAAGGAUGACGAUUCUCUACGCCUCUACCACUUCGUCUUCUCCAGUUGAAGAGCAAAGAAACUGAAUAGUAAUUGAGCCACUUCUACACAAUCAAUACUUUCGUUUCAAUCAAUCAAUACCUUCUUAAUGAUUUCGUUUCAUCUCUCUGUUUUCCUCCUUCUUUAUAUACUGAUCUUCUUUCCUUCCUCAAAUCUCCAAACAAGCGCAACAGCUGAUGACGAUGAAACUGGAGUUGAGAUUGCCAUGAGGGUGGUUAGAUUCGCCAAGGGCUUGAGCGCUGUGACGAUGUUGAGUUUAGUCCCGAAGGUAUUCUCUUUAGGGAAAAAAUUGCAAGUAGAGAUGAUGAAGCUUUUGCAUCUGUUCAUAACUUCAUCAAAACCAGUGAUGGAUAUUCUACUGAUAACGACAGUUGGAUUUUAUAUCACUCUUGAUGGAGUCAAUCUUCUUGGUCAUGGUGCUCACAAAUAUUUGAACAACGUUGGUUAUUACUUAAAACACUCUUUUUGUUAAUAAAUCUAAUAUACCACUCAACUUUAGUUUAGUUUUUUCUGUAAAGACAAAUGAGGUCUGGUCUACUUAGAGAUCCUGAUAAUUGCCACAAAUAUGGAAUGGGUUAUGUCUCACUCUGCAGGGCCGUAAGUGUUCUUCUCACUUCUUCAAAAAUCACUGUUCUUCUCACUUCUAGAAGACAAUGAUUUGUGACACACUUCUUGAGAAAGACCAGGUUUUGUAGUAUGAAUGAUCUUAAAAACUCAAAUCUUCAAAUUUUGGUUUUUGCAGUUAACCAACGUUUGUGAUCUGUGAUAACUUCAGUUCGACAUGAAAAGAGGGCCAUGAAGAGUCUUCUCUGCUUAUGCCGGAGAAGCCACAAAGUCUUAAGAAAAGAAAACAACUAUGUACUCAUGCUUGGUGUGAUCUGAUUCUAUGGAGAGGAGAAGGAGUAUAACUUUCUUAUACUCCAGGAGAGUCACGGUUUUCAGAUCACAGACCCGUUUCUGCAAUGUUUGCAGUAGAAAUUGAUAUGAAGAGUCUGAAAAAAGAUAGAUUCAGGAAAGGUUAUUCUUGUGCAGCCACUCCACAAAGCAUAGUUUUAACUAAGAUUAUUACAGUUCUUUUUUAGACCAAAAAAAAGUUUUUUUCUUUCUUCAUUGUAUAGCUAUAUGAAUAUUUUUCUUGCAUCAGCCAUCAUGAUAUAUAUAUAUAUAUAUAUUUUUUUUAAUGGUA
Long non-coding RNA from Brassica napus (rape), 1413 nucleotides. RefSeq lists it as uncharacterized. The record is from RefSeq and is a predicted model, not a curated record. NCBI's taxonomy places the organism in Eukaryota, Viridiplantae, Streptophyta, Magnoliopsida, Brassicales, Brassicaceae. The transcript is spliced from 3 exons.